This 448-nucleotide long non-coding RNA is filed under the name Mytilus galloprovincialis (Mediterranean mussel). Lineage: Eukaryota; Metazoa; Mollusca; Bivalvia; Mytilida; Mytilidae. The record is from RNAcentral.
GUUAGGGACGACAUCAAAAGUUCAAUGAAGGAUAAAAAACUUAAUUCACAUAGUUUUUUCACUGACCCCCACACCCCCCUCUUAACUUAAUUUGGGAAAAAUUGAUUGUCCAAUAGGGAUAUAUGUAAAAUCGAUUUUAAAUUAACAAAACUUGCAGCAAUGUUAACCCCCCACCCCCAAACUAUCUGAUUUAAGUUUUUUAUCCUACAUCGAUCUUUUGAUGUCGUCCCUUAACUAACUUAAAAGGCAACCAAUAGUGGACCCAUUACAGGCAUAAUGUUUUGGUUGUUCAUUGGGUUAUUAAUAAUUUUUAUUAUUAAAUGAAAUAAGCUAAUAAGCCCUAAUACGGAUAAACAAGCAUGUGCAAUACUAAAAACGUUCCACUGUCGAUAUAAACCAAGAUUUAAUAUUGCACUUCGAACAGGGCCAAAAAGGAAAAAAGAGGGCA